RNAcentral lists this long non-coding RNA (93 nucleotides) under Mus pahari (shrew mouse). RNAcentral's name for it is "neoplastic progression 2 (MGP_PahariEiJ_G0002908.1)". The record is from RNAcentral. Lineage: Eukaryota; Metazoa; Chordata; Mammalia; Rodentia; Muridae.
GACCUUUCAGAUUUCAGUUUCGUGACUAUGAGAUGACAGAUCAAAAGCGUAUUAAAACCGGAAGGGAGCGACAGCAUCAGCUUCAUAGCUUGA